AUUGGGUAUCUGUUGCUAUACUCUUUUGCUUAACAAGAAGCUAUUAUUAUACCUAAAAUCUGGGUUUGUCUCCUGUCCUACUUGGGUGCCUGAUGAUUUUAGAUGAAAAAGAUUUCCUUUCUCUUAGUAGUCCCUUGUUUCCACUGGAGUUAAAGUUUAUAGAUACCAUUUUCUCCUAUGGCUGCAUUUUAUUGGAUUGUUAAUCUACAUCCAGUUUCAAAUGUCUGAAAGCUCUGUGACCCGAUGAACACGUUUACAUACCGUUGCCAGUCGCUCAUUUACAUACCGUUGCCUUGGCUCAUUUACACCUGCCAAAAGAUGAAUGAACACAAAUGCUUUCCAAAGGAUUAUCUGCAAAUGAUCCAAAAAUGUCUUUGUGAGUACUUUUAUUUAAUUUUUGAGAUCACCACUUAUAGCUGUGAUUUGGCAAGUCUUUCUUUCUUACAAAUACCUCAUCAUCUUUCACAGAUUAUGAAAAACGAGUUUGAAUCCAAUCUUAUCUGCGAAUUUUAUUACCUUUCUUCAAUGUUGAGAGCAACUUUUUGUGAGAGCAACUGGCUGAGGCUUAAAUAUGGGUUUUUUUUUUCAAAAAAGUUCUUGGUGUUUCCCAAUCAUAUACCAUCUUAUGUCAUCAAAUCAUGCCAUUUCUUCUUCCUGGACUGCUUUUGAAAGAUAAUGCAUCCUUCAAGCUUUACUGAGGUGCAAACAAGAAUUGGUCACUCUGUCCUUCAACUUAUCCGACUACCACCUGCUCCACCCACCCCAGCAUGUGGUCUACACACCCCUUUCAUGGUGUAUUUUCUUGUGUUUCUAGCUUGUAUAUGUCUGCUGUAUCCAAAUAAAUGCUCUUGAAUGAGAGGUCCAAUAUCUCCUUUGUGUAAUAUGUAAGAGAGGAAAGAUG
This 901-nucleotide long non-coding RNA is filed under the name Callithrix jacchus (white-tufted-ear marmoset). RNAcentral describes it as "lncRNA (ENSCJAG00000073109.1)". The record is from RNAcentral. Lineage: Eukaryota; Metazoa; Chordata; Mammalia; Primates; Cebidae.